AACGACUCUCGGCAACGGAUAUCUCGGCUCUCGCAUCGAUGAAGAACGUAGCGAAAUGCGAUACUUGGUGUGAAUUGCAGAAUCCCGUGAACCAUCGAGUCUUUGAACGCAAGUUGCGCCCGAAGCCAUUAGGCUCGAGGCGCUCUGCCUGGGCGUCAC
RNAcentral lists this ribosomal RNA (159 nucleotides) under Hedera helix. RNAcentral describes it as "5.8S ribosomal RNA". It matches the Rfam family "5.8S ribosomal RNA". Rfam says of the family: 5.8S ribosomal RNA (5.8S rRNA) is a component of the large subunit of the eukaryotic ribosome. It is transcribed by RNA polymerase I as part of the 45S precursor that also contains 18S and 28S rRNA. Lineage: Eukaryota; Viridiplantae; Streptophyta; Magnoliopsida; Apiales; Araliaceae. The record is from RNAcentral.